RNAcentral lists this ribosomal RNA (266 nucleotides) under uncultured bacterium. RNAcentral's name for it is "partial 16S ribosomal RNA". It matches the Rfam family "Bacterial small subunit ribosomal RNA", at positions 793 to 1055 of the family's 1533-position model. The record is from RNAcentral.
GUCCACGCCGUAAACGAUGAGUACUAGGUGUUGCGGGUAUUGACCCCUGCAGUGCCGCAGCUAACGCAUUAAGUACUCCGCCUGGGAAGUACGGUCGCAAGACUAAAACUCAAAGGAAUUGACGGGGGCCCGCACAAGCGGUGUAGCAUGUGGUUUAAUUCGACGCAACGCGCAGAACCUUACCCGGUCUUGACAUCUACGGAACCCUCCCGAAAAGGAGGGGUGCCUUUCGGGGAGCCGUAAGACAGGUGCUGCAUGGCUGUCGU